RNAcentral lists this unclassified non-coding RNA (329 nucleotides) under soil metagenome. Its description in RNAcentral is "partial contains 5.8S ribosomal RNA, internal transcribed spacer 2, and large subunit ribosomal RNA". The stretch from base 1 to 120 matches the Rfam family "5.8S ribosomal RNA", at positions 35 to 154 of the family's 154-position model. The record is from RNAcentral.
GAUGAAGAACGUAGCGAAAUGCGAUAAGUAAUGCGAAUUGCAGAAUUCCGUGAGUCAUCGAAUCUUUGAACGCACAUUGCGCCCUCUGGUAUUCCGGGGGGCAUGCCUGUCCGAGCGUCAUUACAACCCUCAAGCUCAGCUUGGUGUUGGGCCCCGCCGCCCCGGCGGGCCCUAAAGUCAGUGGCGGUGCCGUCCGGCUCCGAGCGUAGUAAUUCUUCUCGCUCUGGAGGUCCGGUCGUGUGCUCGCCAGCAACCCCCAAUUUUUUUCAGGUUGACCUCGGAUCAGGUAGGGAUACCCGCUGAACUUAAGCAUAUCAAUAAGCGGAGGA